AUUAGUGGCGAACGGGUGAGUAACACGUGAGUAACCUGCCCUCCACUUUGGGAUAGCUCCGAGAAAUCGGGGCUAAUACUGGAUAUGACCUUGGCCCGCAUGGGUUAUGGUGGAAAGUUUUUCGGUGGGGGAUGGGCUCGCGGCCUAUCAGUUUGUUGGUGAGGUAGUGGCUCACCAAGGCGAUGACGGGUAGCCGGCCUGAGAGGGCGACCGGCCACACUGGGACUGAGACACGGCCCAG
This 241-nucleotide ribosomal RNA is filed under the name uncultured Actinomycetales bacterium. RNAcentral's name for it is "partial 16S ribosomal RNA". It matches the Rfam family "Bacterial small subunit ribosomal RNA", at positions 91 to 334 of the family's 1533-position model. Lineage: Bacteria; Bacillati; Actinomycetota; Actinomycetes; Actinomycetales. The record is from RNAcentral.